GGGUGCAAUCAUACCAGCACUAAUGCACCGGAUCCCAUCAGAACUCCGCAGGUAAACGUGCUUGGGCGAGAGUAGUACUAGGAUGGGUGACCCCCUGGGAAGUCCUUGUGUUGCACCCC
RNAcentral lists this ribosomal RNA (119 nucleotides) under Populus trichocarpa (black cottonwood). The record is from RNAcentral. Lineage: Eukaryota; Viridiplantae; Streptophyta; Magnoliopsida; Malpighiales; Salicaceae.